GAAGAUGUCGAGGAGUAUGAGGACCUGACAGAGAUCAUGUCCAAUGUACAGCUCAACAGCAACUUCUUGGCCUUAGCUCGGGAGCUGGACAUCAUGGAGCCCAAGGUGCCUGAUGACAUCUACAAAACCCACCUAGAGAACAACAGGUUUGGGGGCAGUGGCUCUCAGGUGGACUCUGCCCGCAUGAACCUGGCCUCCUCUUUUGUGAAUGGCUUUGUGAAUGCAGCUUUUGGCCAAGACAAGCUGCUAACAGAUGAUGGCAACAAAUGGCUUUACAAGAACAAGGACCACGGAAUGUUGAGUGCAGCUGCAUCUCUUGGGAUGAUUCUGCUGUGGGAUGUGGAUGGUGGCCUCACCCAGAUUGACAAGUACCUGUACUCCUCUGAGGACUACAUUAAGGUUGGUCUGCAUACAGCCUGCUCAUGGGGACUUCCCCGUUCCAUAUUCUAGUGCCUAGCAGUGCCUUUCUUUCACUGAUGAGGUCUGCCCAGUUUUUAACUCUAGUUAAUAAGGGUGCUGCAGUGAGGCCCAUGUUGCAUCCUUUGUGGUGAGGAAGAUAGAGUAU
Molecule: small RNA, 565 nt
Filed under: Pan troglodytes (chimpanzee)
Lineage: Eukaryota; Metazoa; Chordata; Mammalia; Primates; Hominidae
Description: retained intron
Source: RNAcentral